This 240-nucleotide unclassified non-coding RNA is filed under the name soil metagenome. RNAcentral describes it as "partial contains 5.8S ribosomal RNA, internal transcribed spacer 2, and large subunit ribosomal RNA". The record is from RNAcentral.
AACCUAGCACACCUGCGGUGUGUACCUGUGGAGGGAUCAUUACACAUAUUACGGGGGGUCGGUCACCCAGAGCGUCGCCUCUUAGCACCUCUGGGCCCUGCCCUGUCUGAAUAUUCUACCCAUGUCUUUUGCGCACUCUUCGUUUCCUCGGUGGGCUUGCCUGCCGAUAGGACACUAUAAAACCUUUUUGUAAUUGCAAUCAGCGUCAGAAAAACUUUUAAUAGUUACAACUUUCAGCAA